GCAGUCGUGGCGGAAUUGGCAUACGCGCUAGACUAAGGAUCUAGUCCGGGUUUCUGGGUAGGGGUUCAAGUCCCCUCGACUGCACCA
RNAcentral lists this transfer RNA (87 nucleotides) under Parabacteroides sp. RNAcentral describes it as "tRNA-Leu". It matches the Rfam family "tRNA". From Rfam's summary of the family: Transfer RNA (tRNA) molecules are approximately 80 nucleotides in length. Their secondary structure includes four short double-helical elements and three loops (D, anti-codon, and T loops). Further hydrogen bonds mediate the characteristic L-shaped molecular structure. tRNAs have two regions of fundamental functional importance: the anti-codon, which is responsible for specific mRNA codon recognition, and the 3' end, to which the tRNAs corresponding amino acid is attached (by aminoacyl-tRNA synthetases). tRNAs cope with the degeneracy of the genetic code in two manners: having more than one tRNA (with a specific anti-codon) for a particular amino acid; and 'wobble' base-pairing, i.e. permitting non-standard base-pairing at the 3rd anti-codon position. RNAcentral also lists the same sequence under 2 other names. The record is from RNAcentral. Lineage: Bacteria; Pseudomonadati; Bacteroidota; Bacteroidia; Bacteroidales; Tannerellaceae.